RNAcentral lists this ribosomal RNA (283 nucleotides) under uncultured bacterium. Its description in RNAcentral is "partial 16S ribosomal RNA". It matches the Rfam family "Bacterial small subunit ribosomal RNA", at positions 773 to 1060 of the family's 1533-position model. The record is from RNAcentral.
GUGGAUUAGAUACCCUGGUAGUCCACGCCCUAAACGAUGAUGACUCGAUGUUGGCGAUACACAGUCAGCGUCCAAGCGAAAGCGUUAAGUCAUCCACCUGGGGAGUACGCCCGCAAGGGUGAAACUCAAAGGAAUUGACGGGGGCCCGCACAAGCGGAGGAGCAUGUGGUUUAAUUCGAUGAUACGCGAGGAACCUUACCCGGGCUUGAAAGUUACUGAAGGUAGCAGAGACGCUACCGUCCCUCGGGACAGGAAACUAGGUGCUGCACGGCCGUCGUCAACU